UAGUGUUUGGUGUCUAUUCUCUGACCUCGUCGCUUCUCAUAAGGAAACUCAUCCAGCAGGGAGUGGGGAGCAACAAUACUAACUCCGGCCCAUAGGGGAAGGUAUAGACGCUGGGGUGGAGGCGGGGCUUUUUAAACGCUAUAUGUGUUACAUCUGCUCCUGCUGUCUCCCCUGACACUCCAUCCACAUCCAUUUCUAUGUCUUCCUAAUUGUUGUCACUCCCCCAGUGAUUCUCUCUCCGUCUCCUCCCUGUGUGUUUGAGUGCGUGUCUUUGAUUGUCUGAGUGGAGACAGGUGUGCCUGAGUCAGAGCAGAACCCCACCAGCUGCACCAAGUCCUGUAAUCAACCCUGCAUAUAUAAUCUCAGCUCUGUCACAUCCACUCUGCCAGAUUGUAGCGUCUGUUCAUUAUGCCUGUUCUGCCCUCAGGCCCCUGCCUCCUCAACCUUGUCUUGUCUGCUCCAUUCUCCCAACCUGAACCCACCAAGCUCCACACUUCACCUUCUGGAUCUCCGUCUGGCUCAGCUCUGAGCCACUCCCUGGACCUCACCUGGCUAAACUUAUAACCUUGCAGUCCUGAAAAUAAAAACUGUUUUACUUCGA
Long non-coding RNA from Thunnus maccoyii (southern bluefin tuna), 601 nucleotides. RefSeq lists it as uncharacterized. Lineage: Eukaryota; Metazoa; Chordata; Actinopteri; Scombriformes; Scombridae. The transcript has 2 exons. The record is from RefSeq and is a predicted model, not a curated record.